Molecule: non-coding RNA, 175 nt
Filed under: Bacillota bacterium
Lineage: Bacteria; Bacillati; Bacillota
Also listed under: 1 other name
Description: 6S RNA
Rfam family: 6S / SsrS RNA
About the family: E. coli 6S RNA was the first non coding RNA to be sequenced, but its function was unknown until recently. It consists of 184 nucleotides that fold into an extended hairpin structure with a large single-stranded internal bulge. The 6S RNA specifically associates with RNA polymerase holoenzyme containing the sigma70 specificity factor.
Source: RNAcentral
AAUAGCCUGGGAUGUUCGCCACGUGACCGCUUUUACCCACAUCUUCACAAAUGGAUUCCGAGUCGGUUGGUCGCUGCCAGGCCCCCACGCAGGGGAAGGCAAUACAUCGCCGUAGGUCUCCACCCUGCCGAGCGGCGGGUGAAAAAGCGGAAGCGAACGGCAUCCUGGGUCACCU